Molecule: long non-coding RNA, 1103 nt
Filed under: Marmota monax (woodchuck)
Lineage: Eukaryota; Metazoa; Chordata; Mammalia; Rodentia; Sciuridae
Source: RNAcentral
ACCAGAGGUAUCCGCUAACAGAUUUUAUGAAAAGAUAGCUGUGGAUGCCCUUCAUACUUGUUCACAGUCUUUCUUCCAUUCUGCUAUGAUUACUGAAGGUUUGGCAACUCUUUUGGAACAUGAGGCUAAGGGAGUGAUUAUGGGGUGGUGAACUAGGAGAAGUACGAGUGGCAGAUCCACUGUCAGCCUUGGACUGCUGAAUAAUUUCUGUUUUAUUCAGCCAUACUUAUUUACAGUGGAACCCACUCUUGACUCACUACACAUGAAUCUAUGCAGCAGUCUGGCUGGGCACAAAUCACGAGCCACCGAAGCAGGAACAAACUUUAUUUCUGAACUCCACCAGCACACUCCACACACGCUCCCCGGGAACUCUCCCGAACGCCACGAGGCUCGACCAGGAACCAGCAGCCGGAAAUAUCCCUCCUCCGGCACUUCCCCAACCAAUGGGAACUCUCCAGGAAUCCCCGCGAGAGCUCAACUGGAACUCAACGGGAACUCCGCGAGAACUAGCUGGCGUCACCUCUCAACCACUACUUCUGGCAAAAAUGCCAUGCGUCAUCCCGACUCGGCUGUGGCCCUCAACAAAUCUAAACCAUUUCCUUAUGUGUUACUUACUGACUCAACUGGGAGCUCCUCAAGGGCAGGGGUUUCAUUUCUAAGUCUUUGUGUCCUCGUGAACACCCAGAAGCUUCAUGGUUAAUAAACGUUCGUGAAGUAAAGCUCGAGACAGUUUAUGCAAGCCAAAGGCAAACUGAAAACCUGUCCAUGUUCAAAGCGGACAGUCUUGAAGAACCAGGAAGCGAGCAGGUGCAGAGGCAUUACUGCAGGAGACGAUGCGGACGAUGGGACGGUAACUCACUUCCCUCAGUGCUCGGAGCCUCUCUCUGAGACUCCACUGGGUUCAAUGAAUCAUCCACGAAGCAAAUGGUCAAGAGAACUUCUGGAGAAGGACGGAGGAAGAAAAGACGCUCGUUGGCGGUGCAUGACACCUGCCCUUGUCGUUGACUUGAACGGGCUUACACCUAAGUGAAAGUCGCAGACUCGUCCCCAGUGGAGACCUACCCAGGUCUGAGGCCAGCAACUCCAGCAACCGUCCUGUCCCA